This is a transfer RNA of Lacimicrobium alkaliphilum, 74 nucleotides long. It matches the Rfam family "tRNA". Rfam says of the family: Transfer RNA (tRNA) molecules are approximately 80 nucleotides in length. Their secondary structure includes four short double-helical elements and three loops (D, anti-codon, and T loops). The record is from Rfam. NCBI's taxonomy places the organism in Bacteria, Pseudomonadati, Pseudomonadota, Gammaproteobacteria, Alteromonadales, Alteromonadaceae.
GGCCCUUUAGCUCAGUUGGUUAGAGCACCCGACUCAUAAUCGGUAGGUCCCCAGUUCAAGUCUGGGAGGGGCCA